Non-coding RNA from Saccharomyces cerevisiae FostersO, 257 nucleotides. The record is from Rfam. NCBI's taxonomy places the organism in Eukaryota, Fungi, Ascomycota, Saccharomycetes, Saccharomycetales, Saccharomycetaceae.
UUUAAUGAUGAAGAUUUUAAUUUUCCGUUGGUCUAUUAAGAACAGAAGUACUUCAAAMCUACUUUUUUAAGACCAUCCUUUUACAGUAUUUUUUUCAAUAUUGUAAAACUUCUCAUUUACUUUGUGUCUUUAUGAUCUCAUCGUUCUGGUGGACCAUAAUCAGACGCACGGUAUACUUCGUUUCUGUUGGAGAAUAUUGGGAGUCUUUUAAUGUGAUGAGUGGCCAACAUAACCUUAUAGUCAUAGUUACACUGAUU